RNAcentral lists this ribosomal RNA (465 nucleotides) under Vreelandella stevensii. Its description in RNAcentral is "partial 16S ribosomal RNA". It matches the Rfam family "Bacterial small subunit ribosomal RNA", at positions 338 to 795 of the family's 1533-position model. Lineage: Bacteria; Pseudomonadati; Pseudomonadota; Gammaproteobacteria; Oceanospirillales; Halomonadaceae. The record is from RNAcentral.
CCUACGGGAGGCAGCAGUGGGGAAUAUUGGACAAUGGGGGGAACCCUGAUCCAGCCAUGCCGCGUGUGUGAAGAAGGCCCUCGGGUUGUAAAGCACUUUCAGUGAGGAAGAACGCCUGGUGGUUAAUACCCAUCAGCAAAGACAUCACUCACAGAAGAAGCACCGGCUAACUCCGUGCCAGCAGCCGCGGUAAUACGGAGGGUGCGAGCGUUAAUCGGAAUUACUGGGCGUAAAGCGCGCGUAGGUGGCUUGAUAAGCCGGUUGUGAAAGCCCCGGGCUCAACCUGGGAACGGCAUCCGGAACUGUCAAGCUAGAGUGCAGGAGAGGAAGGUAGAAUUCCCGGUGUAGCGGUGAAAUGCGUAGAGAUCGGGAGGAAUACCAGUGGCGAAGGCGGCCUUCUGGACUGACACUGACACUGAGGUGCGAAAGCGUGGGUAGCAAACAGGAUUAGAUACCCGUGUAGUC